CAAGGCCAAUAAAUAGUGACAGCCUAUAGCAAGUUGCAGCAGCCCCUCUGGCAUUUGCCAGAACCCACAGAUUGCCAGUCCAGGCUUGCAGAGAAGUCAGGAGAUGCUUGGAGAAAGAGAGAGAGGGCAUUGCCACCCUCCACUGGAAGGGCACUCCAUCACAAGCCAGGGAGAAGCCAUGCAGUAAAUCUGGCCCUUGACUAUUGCUUUCAGAACUUGUAGUGAAUCAUGUGAGGAGGGGAAGAUUAAUAAAUUGCUUUGUCAGGGUGACUGCAGGAUUCCAUGUCACUGCUCUCAAAGAUUACAAGACUGGAGGGAGGUGCAUGCUCGGCAGCACCACAGCAAAAAAGGGGACAGACUGCCUGCUCACCUUAGCACAGAUUCUAGCCCAGAAUCUAGGCAGCAACAAGGAACAGAGAAGGUUACAUCACAGAUUGGAACUGCGGCCAGCUCAUUUUUCUCAUAAAAGGCUGCGUGAUAUAUACUGCAGAGCCUACACUGCAUUGAGGCAGAGGUUCUGGACUCUUGAUACAAAAACAUUAAUAGGCACCUACCCCAGCAGAGAAAUGACAACUGUCAGAAACACUUCCCCACUGAGACAAUGAAACAGCAACAACAGGAGGUACAUAAUUUGAUGGUCAACCUAUCCCCUAAUGUUUUAAUGAAUGAUGAACUAUCUGUUUUAAAGGACCAGUAAUAUCAAAAAAUGAAAUUGUUUUAAAGUAGUAAUAAAAAUAUAAUGCAGUGUU
This is a long non-coding RNA of Xenopus laevis (African clawed frog), 749 nucleotides long. RefSeq lists it as uncharacterized. The transcript has 4 exons. NCBI's taxonomy places the organism in Eukaryota, Metazoa, Chordata, Amphibia, Anura, Pipidae. The record is from RefSeq and is a predicted model, not a curated record.